GACGAACGCUGGCGGCGUGCUUAACACAUGCAAGUCGAACGGAAAGGCCCUGCUUUUGUGGGGUGCUCGAGUGGCGAACGGGUGAGUAACACGUGAGUAACCUGCCCUUGACUUUGGGAUAACUUCAGGAAACUGGGGCUAAUACCGGAUCUGAGAUCCUGCUGCAUGGUGGGGGUUGGAAAGUUUCGGCGGUUGGGGAUGGUCUCGCGGCUUAUCAGCUUGUUGGUGGGGUAGUGGCUUACCAAGGCUUUGACGGGUAGCCGGCCUGAGAGGGUGACCGGCCACAUUGGGACUGAGGUACGGCCCGGACUCCAACGGGGGGCAGCAGUGGGGAAUAUUGCACAAUGGGCGGAAGCCGUAUGCAGCAACGCCGCGUGCGGGAUGACGGCCUUCGGGUUGGAAACCGCUUUCGCCUGUGACGAAGCGUGAGUGACGGUAAUGGGUAAAGAAGCACCGGCUAACUACGUG
This 468-nucleotide ribosomal RNA is filed under the name uncultured bacterium. Its description in RNAcentral is "partial 16S ribosomal RNA". It matches the Rfam family "Bacterial small subunit ribosomal RNA", at positions 28 to 507 of the family's 1533-position model. The record is from RNAcentral.